RNAcentral lists this RNase P RNA (475 nucleotides) under Hymenobacter sp. HSC-4F20. Its description in RNAcentral is "RNase P RNA component class A". It matches the Rfam family "Bacterial RNase P class A". Rfam says of the family: Ribonuclease P (RNase P) is a ubiquitous endoribonuclease, found in archaea, bacteria and eukarya as well as chloroplasts and mitochondria. Lineage: Bacteria; Pseudomonadati; Bacteroidota; Cytophagia; Cytophagales; Hymenobacteraceae. The record is from RNAcentral.
GUGAUGGGUCGCCCCACCGCGGCGCCGCAAGGCGACGAGGAAAGUCCGGGCAACACAGAGCACCCUGCUUCCUAACGGGAAGGACUGGGCGGCGUAAAGCUUCUCAGGACAGCCAGUGCCACAGAAAACUACCGCCAGGCGGUGAAUGAGUAAUUGAGUGAAUGAGUGAGGUAUAGUUCAAUCUGCGCAAGCGGAAAGAUCAACUCACUUAAUCACUCAUUCACAACUUCACCUUUGGUAAGGGUGAAAAGGUGCGGUAAGAGCGCACCAGCGGCUGGGCAACCACGCCGGCUGGGUAAACCUCAGGGGUUGAAAGACCAAAUAAGCUGGCACGCAGGCCUUUCGGGGCCGGCACCGGGCGGCUCGUCCGGCGCCAGCGGGUAGGUUGAUGGAGCCUUUCCGCGAGGACUGGCCUAGAUAAAUGGUGGGGCCGUGGCAACACGGACAAAACCCGGCUUACAGACUCAUCACCGCC